CCAGGUUCUUGCAUUGCAGGCAGAUUCUUUACUAACUGAGCUAACCAGGGAAGCCCAAGAAAACUGGAGUGGUUAGCUUAUCUCUUCUCCAGGGUAUCUUUCUGGCCCAGGGUCUCCUGUAUUGCAGGCAGUUUUUUUGCCAGAUGAGCUUCCAGGAAAUCAGCAUGGGAUAGGAUAUGCAGUGACCAUACUGUAUACCCACCAGUUCACUGGUUAAUGUUGCUGUCUCUUUAAGUCAUCACCACUGGGCCCUCCCCUCCCUGAGCUUCUUGAACUCUGAGAAGCACAGAGACUUCCUUGUUGGUGGGGAGGAAACCAGUCACUGCACCCACAGCCAAGGGCAGGCAGCAGAUCAGGAGCUUCUUGGAUCUAACGUUAGAGCCUGUCACCAAUUCUGCAGGAAAGGUAAUCAUGGGAGG
RNAcentral lists this long non-coding RNA (419 nucleotides) under Capra hircus (goat). RNAcentral's name for it is "lncRNA (ENSCHIG00010010995.1)". Lineage: Eukaryota; Metazoa; Chordata; Mammalia; Artiodactyla; Bovidae. The record is from RNAcentral.